CCCUUAGAUGUCCUGGGCCGCACGCGCGCUACACUGACAUGUUCAACAAGUUUCUCCUAGUUCGACAGGACUGGGAAAUCUUUGAACGCAUGUCGUGAUAGGGAUAGAUCAUUGCAAUUAUUGAUCUUGAACGAGGAAUUCCUAGUAAACGCGAGUCAUCAGCUCGCAUUGAUUACGUCCCUGCCCUUUGUACACACCGCCCGUCGCACCUACCGAUUGAAUGUUUCGGUGAAGAUUCCGGAUAGGACUGAUUUGAUUUAUUUCAUUUCUGACCUAAAAGCUAUCUAAACCUCAACAUAUAGAGGAAGGUGAAGUCGUAACA
Molecule: ribosomal RNA, 322 nt
Filed under: uncultured eukaryote
Lineage: Eukaryota
Description: partial 18S ribosomal RNA
Rfam family: Eukaryotic small subunit ribosomal RNA
Source: RNAcentral